GCUCCAAAGAGCCAUGGUAUGCAUGGUUUUGCCUCUCCGUUCAAGCCACACAAGAACCCUGCGAGGUAGGAAACGGUAAAGGACCCCUAGAUGGGUAAGUCCAGUCAAAUUUGACUAUGGGAUGCGGCGCUCAUCUCUGUUUUCAGGCUGAGGGAGCCAGCGUUGGUCCACAGACAGCUUUUCCAGAUCAUGUGGCCAGCAGGACUAAACCGCUUCUGGCGCACGAAGGACAGUGACGAGUGUCAGAGUGCACACAAAUGCUGUUUACCUUCCUGCCACUGAGAUACCUAUUUAUCUACUUGCACUGGCGUGCUUUCGAACCACUAGGUUGGCAGGAGCUGGGACUGAGCAACGGGAUUCAAACUGCCGACCUUCUGAUCGGCAAGCCCAAGUGGCUCAGUGGUUUAGACCACAGCGCCAUCUAUGUCCCACUGCCUCUGAGGUAGGCUAGGCUGGGAGGUAAUGACUGAUCCUAGAUCAUGCUGUGCUUGUUUAGGGUGGAGGGGGGAUUUGAAUUCAGGUCUACUCAGACCUAGUAUGGGAUGCUAACUGCUUCACCUCCUUGUCUCUAAAACAAAAAUAAGUGGUAGUGAGGGCAAAGAAUGCAAAAAUUAAAAAAUUUAAAUGGUGCAAAGUACAUCAUGGGAUAUACUCAGCGAUACAAAAUAAUUAAGAACAGGAGGGAUUUUAAAAAAAUAUAUAUGAAAAUACACACAAAACAAAAUUGUCAGGUAAUAUCCAACUGUUUUCAUCUGCCAAGAGAAUGGACUGGAUUCCCCUUCCUUUCUGCAGUCCUUCUGUGCCAUCCAAAUCAGAUCCUAGUUUGGGGACAAGGUGGGGAAAAGGAGAUAGUGGGGAAGCUCCAUUGCAGAAGUGGAUGUCAAUUUGCACAAUGUUGUAAAUGGCACAUGAAUGCUUAGAAACUGUUUUUUUUUUUUAAUGCAUUUUUACUUUUACUAUAAAAGGUGAAUUUAUCACACCACAGUGACCAUUAAGUGCAGCGGUGAUGAGGUGGACCACAAACCGGUACAAGGGCGCAGGGUCUCAAGGCAACACACUGGCAGUGAAGAAUAAUGAUAAACAUUUCCAUCAUCGCCCCCAGGCCCCAGCCCCAGCCAAUCUGCCGUUUGUUCCCAGGAACACUGGGAGUGAGAGCGAAUGCUCUGCUGAGUGAACACCGUCGGAGAAGUUCUGCAGGCAUUCCCCCGUUCUGUACUCUGGAGGUCAGCAAGUUUGAGGUAUUACAGCCACUAAGUGAAAAUGAAAACUUCAAGAGGCUUGCUGUCUAUCACCGCCAUCACUAAAUCUUUUUUCAACAAUCCUGGGCAGUGAAUUAUGGAAGCAUGGAAUUGACUUACACUUCAUUUCGAGCUGUAGUCAGUUACUCUGUCAAACACAACAGCGUUCAGAAAAGGCCUAUAAAAAUAUAUGACAAACGAAA
Podarcis lilfordi (Lilford's wall lizard) is the source of this 1441-nucleotide non-coding RNA. The record is from the annotation of a GenBank genome assembly. NCBI's taxonomy places the organism in Eukaryota, Metazoa, Chordata, Lepidosauria, Squamata, Lacertidae.